GACGAACGCUGGCGGCGUGCCUAAUACAUGCAAGUCGAGCGGAACUGGGGGAGCUUGCUCCUUCCAGUUUAGCGGCGGACGGGUGAGUAACACGUGGGCAACCUGCCCUGCAGAUCGGGAUAACUCCGGGAAACCGGUGCUAAUACCGAAUAGUUUGGCGCCUCUCCUGAGGCGCUACGGAAAGACGGUUUCGGCUGUCACUGCAGGAUGGGCCCGCGGCGCAUUAGCUAGUUGGUGGGGUAACGGCCCACCAAGGCGACGAUGCGUAGCCGACCUGAGAGGGUGACCGGCCAAACUGGGGCUGAGACACGGCCCAGACUCCUACGGGAGGCAGCAGUAGGGAAUCUUCCGCAAUGGACGCAAGUCUGACGGAGCAACGCCGCGUGAGUGACGAAGGUUUUCGGAUCGUAAAACUCUGUUGUGAGGGAAGAACACGUACCAACUAACUAUUGGUACCUUGACGGUACCUCGCCAGAAAGCCACGGCUAACUACGUGCCAGCCGCCGCGGUAA
Molecule: ribosomal RNA, 512 nt
Filed under: uncultured bacterium
Lineage: Bacteria
Description: partial 16S ribosomal RNA
Rfam family: Bacterial small subunit ribosomal RNA
Source: RNAcentral